This is a long non-coding RNA of Cercocebus atys (sooty mangabey), 2299 nucleotides long. RefSeq lists it as uncharacterized. NCBI's taxonomy places the organism in Eukaryota, Metazoa, Chordata, Mammalia, Primates, Cercopithecidae. The transcript is spliced from 6 exons. The record is from RefSeq and is a predicted model, not a curated record.
AGUGACAGAGCGAGGUUGUGUCUCAAAAAAAAAAAAAAAAAAAAAAGUGAUAGAAAAUUAGGAAAUCUUUAAAGUCUUUUGGGUAAGAGAUAACAAGAUUGCGAACAAGAAGAGAUGGAAGUUUAUGACAUUAAAUCAGCACACUGUACUGGUCAGAAACCUAUCUUUAGUGCCAGACUCUCUGGUUUCAAAUCCUAGAUCUACCACUUCCUAGCUGUGUGACCUUGAGCAAGCUCCUUCUCUCUGAGCCUCAAUUUUCUCAGUUGUAAAAUGGGAUGACAGUAAUAGUACUAAUUACCUAUAGUACUUAUGAGAUUUUAAGACAUUAAAUCUGUAAAGUGCUUAAUAUAGCAGCUGGCACAUUGUAAGCACUACAUAUAUUUAUAUACUAUAAACAUACACUAUAUGUGUAUAUGUACAGUGGUUACUAUAUAUAGUGAUAUAUAUAAGUAUAUAUAUUUUUCCCAUAAUUGGAGUUACAGAAAACUACUGAAUAUUGACGAAAAAAUGAAAUUAUACUGACAUCUCAUUACUUCUAUAGAUGAUGGACUGCCAGACAAAUAAAUAACUUUGCUUUCAAGAACAGGUGACUGGGAAAGUGUCUGGACAUUAUGAGACAUAAGGAAGAAGUCAGGGAUGGUGACAGAAUAUGUAAAAAUGAGCAAAGAUGUUAAAGAAGAUAAGCCAAAGGUAUCAAUGGUAUUAUAGAGGAUACAAAGACUUGAUGUCAUCUUUUGUUUUGUAUCUUUUAUUGAUUUGGCUUAUCAAGGAUUCUGCUGCAUGGAAUUAUGAUCAGAUAUUGAAGAGGAUGAUUUUUGUUUAGUGUCCAACAUGCCCAUUUGCUGUGCAUUUUAUUUCCAGAGAUGUUGUCUAAAACACCAGAAUUAUCAUCAGAUAUUGAAGAGGAUGAUUUUUGUUUAGUAAGUUUUUUAUUUAUAACAAUAUCUACUGCAUUGCCCAGGUAACUUCUUUCCUACAGCGAGCUUCCCUAGUUCCAUAGCCAAAGAUACACACUUAAUCCAGAUCAAAUACAAAUCUGCCACUAUUGUCAGAAAAAUAUUCCCAUUAGUCUAAAAUAUUUUGCCUCAUCCUGGCUGCCUCUCCUUCUUACUCUAGCCAGUGAUUCUCCACACUGGGAGGGGAACGUUACGGAAAUACGCAGGUGUGGUUUGGGUUGUUACAACGACAGAGGGUUUCUCCUGACAAUAGGUAAGCACGAUCCUAGCUAGGAUGCUUAUCAUCCUACAACAUUUAGGACCAUGUCGCACAACUGAAAAAUAGUCCCCUUAUUAAGAAACACUUAAGACAACUUGAACCAUUACUUUGACUAUUUUCUUGUAAUAUCUUCAACUUUCAUACGCUUUAUCUUUCUGCCACAUACCCAUUUAAAUGUUAAGAAUCCAUCAUCUGUUCUCAUCUUACUAUCAACACCAAGGCUACUAAGCUUUGAGAAAAUUGUACAUAUUUAUAAACAUAUUUAUGCUAUAAAAGUCAUAUUUAAACUGAGUCCUCAACAUUAUCUAACAGUUAUUCUUAGGCCUCUCCGUUACCUUGCACAUAGCUUUACAUGUCCCUGAAUCCUGUACUUCAACAGAUCUCUAGGAGAAACUCACCAUCUUCACACUUCAGAAAAAACAAAAGCUAUUAGAUGUUCCUCCUUUACAAGCUUAUCUGCAACUCUGAUUACCUCCUGUUUCUUGAAGAAACUAUUCUCUCUUAUCCUUUCCUGCUCUGUCUUUUCAACGACCUGGAACAAAUGCCCUUCUCCUCAAUAUCCAUUUGACUCUUUAUUGACCUUUCAAAAGUCAAUUCUCUCUCCAUAUUUUCUUAAAAAGCAUCUCCUGAUCUUCACCCUCACAUCUAGCUACAGGGUUAGGCACUUGACCCUCUACUUGGUUCCUACUGCAUCCUAUAUGUGUACAUCUGAGAAUGCUUAUAACUUAUUAUCUAAUUUUCAUGCUAGAUUUUGAGAAACUUAACGACACAGUCCACUUGUAUCUCACAUUCCUAUACCACAGCCUUCCCUAUAGCAGUCACGAAUUUGUAUAAUAAAUUACAUAAUUAUGGCAAGUUCAUUUAUGCUCCCAAAUGUGUAAAUCAAGUUAUAGUGAAUAUUCAUAAGUUUUAUUGUAAGCACAGUAAAUGAGUCAUAUAUGCCAGAAGGACUCUACUUUCAAGAGCAAUAAAUGAUACUUAGGGGAAAAAAAGGUAAUGCUUUAAACAAAAUGAGACAUUUGCAGCUUGCAAAAGAAGUUAGUUCAAUGCAUAUUUCCACAAUUACUUGAAAAAAAUUUUUAAA